Long non-coding RNA from Hippocampus zosterae (dwarf seahorse), 727 nucleotides. RefSeq lists it as uncharacterized. The record is from RefSeq and is a predicted model, not a curated record. Lineage: Eukaryota; Metazoa; Chordata; Actinopteri; Syngnathiformes; Syngnathidae. The transcript is spliced from 2 exons.
CCUUACUUAGAUGCUUGUAGUGAAGGCUUCCUUGUUUAACAAAUGAAGCACUGUCACUUUAAGAGCCACACUAGAUCAAAACACGCGGGAACAUAUGCAGCGUGUGAGAAUCAGACCAGAAAGGGUGACAUGCACGUAAAGGAGGGUAGUCGCUGAACUGUGCCCACUGCUUGUCCCAACUUGAUACACCCAUGAUCGUCCUCGUAACCCUGGCGAUAUUCAGGUAAUUGGUAACUAGUUUACCAUGACGCAUGUUAGGUGUUAAUUUUGGACAGAUGAUUAAUUAGUUGAAUGGUAUUUGUAGAGCACAAUAUCUGGAGUGGUUUGGGUUGGAGUUUGAAAUCUACCACUAGUGAGUCGUGUGAACAGCUGUACAGCAGGGGAGAUCAUUUGUGUUUGACCACGUGCUUUGUACACACCCAACACACCGGAACAUAUCGAGUAAGUGUGGCUGCAUCUCAAAACAUUGGGUUGUAAUGAUUAUUUGUUCUGCACUAAGAAGUAUUGUGGCUUGUAAAUAAUGUAUUUUUAUUUCUGUUUUCCUCUUAAGCAAGCCACUGCUGUUGUCUAUUGUGGCGUAACUGUCUGUACUCUGUUAAAUGAUUUUCUUUGAUCUCUUAGACCCCUUUUCGACCUCUUUUAAAAUUCAGUUAACAUCUCAGUCUUUCAUCUUAAUGCUGAACAAUUUUUCAUUGUUCAGUCGGGAAUAAAGCCCACCUAAAAAUUA